Molecule: unclassified non-coding RNA, 360 nt
Filed under: Hevea brasiliensis (rubber tree)
Lineage: Eukaryota; Viridiplantae; Streptophyta; Magnoliopsida; Malpighiales; Euphorbiaceae
Source: RNAcentral
CUUUAGCGUCAUUGACUGCUGUGAGGUCAGAUGGAUUACUUGAGUCCAGCAGUGGUAAUUUGAAGACUGAGGUAACUGAUGGUAAGACGGAGAAUCACGCCAGUGGAUCGAGCAAUUCGGGUGUGAAGGAAGUUGGAUGGGGUGCUUUCCAUGCUGAUCCAGUUACAAAUGAUGCUUCUGGGUUCGGAUCCUACGUGGACUUUUUCAGUGAAUUGGGUGAUAAAAACGGUGAUGCAACGGCAGAUGUUGGUGAGAAUGUGAAUAAUAGGGUCAAUUUUGCCAGCGGAACAGGUCCAUGACAAAAAACAAGUUCAUGAAACAGAAUAUUUGGAGAAUACUAGUUCGUUAACACAGGGUCAG